GACGAACGCUGGCGGCGUGCUUAACACAUGCAAGUCGAACGGAAAGGCCCUGCUCUUGUGGGGUGCUCGAGUGGCGAACGGGUGAGUAACACGUGAGUAACCUGCCCUUGACUUUGGGAUAACUUCAGGAAACUGGGGCUAAUACCGGAUAGGAGCUCCUGCUGCAUGGUGGGGGUUGGAAAGUUUCGGCGGUUGGGGAUGGACUCGCGGCUUAUCAGCUUGUUGGUGGGGUAGUGGCUUACCAAGGCUUUGACGGGUAGCCGGCCUGAGAGGGUGACCGGCCACAUUGGUACUGAGAGACGGACCAGACUCCUACGGGAGGCAGCAGUGGGGAAUAUUGCACAAUGGGGGGAAGCCUGAUGCAGCAACGCCGCGUGCGGGAUGACGGCCUUCGGGUUGUAAACCACUUUCGACUGUGACGAAGCGUGAGUGACGGUAAUGGGUAAAGAAGCACCGGCUAACUACGUG
Molecule: ribosomal RNA, 468 nt
Filed under: uncultured bacterium
Lineage: Bacteria
Description: partial 16S ribosomal RNA
Rfam family: Bacterial small subunit ribosomal RNA
Source: RNAcentral